UACGUAGGGGGCAAGCGUUGUCCGGAUUUAUUGGGCGUAAAGAGCGUGUAGGCGGCCAGGUAGGUCUGCUGUGAAAACUCGAGGCUUAACCUCGAGCUGUCGGCGGAAACCAUCUGGCUAGAGUCCGGAAGAGGAGAAUGGAAUUCCCGGUGUAGCGGUGAAAUGCGCAGAUAUCGGGAAGAACACCCGUGGCGAAGGCGGUUCUCUGGGCAGUUCCUGACGCUGAGGCACGAAGGCCAGGGGAGCAAACGGG
Molecule: ribosomal RNA, 253 nt
Filed under: uncultured bacterium
Lineage: Bacteria
Description: partial 16S ribosomal RNA
Rfam family: Bacterial small subunit ribosomal RNA
Source: RNAcentral